CAGCAGCCGCGGGAAUACGGAGGGGGCUAGCGUUGUUCGGAAUUACUGGGCGUAAAGCGCACGUAGGCGGCUUGGUAAGUUAGAGGUGAAAGCCUGGAGCUCAACUCCAGAAUUGCCUUUAAGACUGCCGAGCUAGCAGGUGAGAGAGGUAAGUGGAAUUCCGAGUGUAGAGGUGAAAUUCGUAGAUAUUCGGAAGAACACCAGUGGUGAAGGCGGCUUACUGGCUCAUACUGGACGCUGAGGUGCGAAAGCGUGGGGAGCAAACAGGAUUAGAUACCCGUGUAGUCCCUGUCUCUUAUAC
Molecule: ribosomal RNA, 301 nt
Filed under: uncultured bacterium
Lineage: Bacteria
Description: partial 16S ribosomal RNA
Rfam family: Bacterial small subunit ribosomal RNA
Source: RNAcentral